CCUCUGUGCGGCGUGUGCUGCGCGGUACUCACCGGCCAGGGGACGGUCCUUCGGCUUCCAGGCGGUGCCAGCGCGGAGCCCGGAUCCCAGAUGCCAGCUUUUGCGGGAUGUGAUCAUGGCAUGGAGCUGCCGAGCACAACGGCACCUCUGAGGAAGAAGCAAGGGCGAGGAAAGACGUCUCAACCCGCCUCAGUUUCCAGUCAAAGCCCAAAGGGGACCGUGCAGGAGCAAAACCACGACGCACCAAACCCCAGCAUGGCCAUAGCUGAUGCCCUUCCCGGGGGCAAGAGCCACCAGUAACACCAAGAAGGUGACUGUGGUGCUGGUGACCCACACACUGAGGACCAGAGGUGUGAGGAAACCAGCACAACGUGCCCCAAGACCUCUCCAAAGGCCUUGCUGUCAGAAAGGCAAUAAAAGGAGCUCAGCUU
Long non-coding RNA from Colius striatus (speckled mousebird), 431 nucleotides. RefSeq lists it as uncharacterized. The transcript is spliced from 3 exons. The record is from RefSeq and is a predicted model, not a curated record. Lineage: Eukaryota; Metazoa; Chordata; Aves; Coliiformes; Coliidae.